CGUAACAAGGUUUCCGUAGGUGAGCCUGCGGAAGGAUCAUUACCUAGAGUUUGUAGACUUCGGUCUGCUACCUCUUACCCAUGUCUUUUGAGUACCUUCGUUUCCUCGGCGGGUCCGCCCGCCGAUUGGACAACAUUCAGACCCUUUGCAGUUGCAAUCAGCGUCUGAAAAAACAUAAUAGUUACAACUUUCAACAACGGAUCUCUUGGUUCUGGCAUCGAUGAAGAACGCAGCGAAAUGCGAUAAGUAGUGUGAAUUGCAGAAUUCAGUGAAUCAUCGAAUCUUUGAACGCACAUUGCGCCCCUUGGUAUUCCAUGGGGCAUGCCUGUUCGAGCGUCAUUUGUACCUUCAAGCUCUGCUUGGUGUUGGGUGUUUGUCUCGCCUCUGCGUGUAGACUCGCCUUAAAACAAUUGGCAGCCGGCGUAUUGAUUUCGGAGCGCAGUACAUCUCGCGCUUUGCACUCAUAACGACGACGUCCAAAAGUACAUUUUUACACUCUUGACCUCGGAUCAGGUAGGGAUACCCGCUGAACUUAAGCAUAUCA
This 544-nucleotide ribosomal RNA is filed under the name uncultured fungus. RNAcentral describes it as "eukaryotic LSU rRNA". The stretch from base 186 to 339 matches the Rfam family "5.8S ribosomal RNA". The record is from RNAcentral. Lineage: Eukaryota; Fungi.